RNAcentral lists this ribosomal RNA (549 nucleotides) under Candidatus Hydrogenedentota bacterium. RNAcentral's name for it is "bacterial SSU rRNA". It matches the Rfam family "Bacterial small subunit ribosomal RNA", at positions 1 to 540 of the family's 1533-position model. Lineage: Bacteria; Pseudomonadati; Candidatus Hydrogenedentota. The record is from RNAcentral.
CGGAGAGUUUGAUCCUGGCUCAGAACGAACGCUGGCGGCAGGCCUCAUACAUGCAAGUCGAGCGAUUAAAGCUCCUUCGGGAGUGUAUAAAGCGGCGAACGGGUGAGUAACAGGUGGAUGAUCUGCCUCCCGGUGGGGGAUAACGGCUGGAAACGGCCGCUAAUACCGCAUUCGGUUGCUGCGUUGCGACGCAGCAAAGAAAGGCGCUUCACGGCGUCGCCGGGAGAUGAGUCCGCCCCCCAUUAGCUAGUUGGCGGGAUAAUAGCCCACCAAGGCUGCGAUGGGUAGCCGAGCUGAGAGGUUGAUCGGCCACACUGGAACUGAGACACGGUCCAGACACCUACGGGUGGCAGCAGUAGGGAAUAUUGGACAAUGGGCGAAAGCCUGAUCCAGCCAUGCCGCGUGAGCGAAGACGGCCCUUGGGUUGUAAAGCUCUUUUCUGAGGGAAGAAUAUCCGGGGUAGGAAAUGCCCCCGGCUUGACGGUACCUCAGGAAUAAGGAACGGCUAACUCCGUGCCAGCAGCCGCGGUAAUACGGAGGUUCCAAGCG